GAGUUUGAUUAUGGCUCAGGAUGAACGCUAGCUACAGGCUUAACACAUGCAAGUCGAGGGGCAGCAUUAUCUUAGCUUGCUAAGAUAGAUGGCGACCGGCGCACGGGUGAGUAACACGUAUCCAACCUUCCGGUUACUCGGGGAUAGGCUUUCGAAAGAAAGAUUAAUACCCGAUGUUGCGUAUCUUUCUCCUGAAAGAUACGCCAAAGGAUUCCGGUAACCGAUGGGGAUGCGUUCCAUUAGGCAGUUGGCGGGGUAACGGCCCACCAAACCUUCGAUGGAUAGGGGUUCUGAGAGGAAGGUCCCCCACAUUGGAACUGAGACACGGUCCAAACUCCUACGGGAGGCAGCAGUGAGGAAUAUUGGUCAAUGGACGGAAGUCUGAACCAGCCAAGUAGCGUGAAGGAUGACUGCCCUCUGGGUUGUAAACUUCUUUUAUACGGGAAUAACAUGAGGUACGCGUACCUUAUUGCAUGUACCGUUAUGAAUAAAGCAUCGG
RNAcentral lists this ribosomal RNA (499 nucleotides) under Bacteroides sp. canine oral taxon 183. RNAcentral describes it as "bacterial SSU rRNA". It matches the Rfam family "Bacterial small subunit ribosomal RNA", at positions 9 to 496 of the family's 1533-position model. The record is from RNAcentral. Lineage: Bacteria; Pseudomonadati; Bacteroidota; Bacteroidia; Bacteroidales; Bacteroidaceae.